AAGCGUGCGCAGGCGGUUAUGUAAGACAGAUGUGAAAUCCCCGGGCUCAACCUGGGAACUGCAUUUGUGACUGCAUGGCUAGAGUACGGUAGAGGGGGGAUGGAAUUCCGCGUGUAGCAGUGAAAUGCGUAGAUAUGCGGAGGAACACCGAUGGCGAAGGCAAUCCCCUGGACCUGUACUGACGCUCAUGCACGAAAGCGUGGGGAGCAAACAGGAUUAGAUACCCGUGU
Molecule: ribosomal RNA, 230 nt
Filed under: uncultured bacterium
Lineage: Bacteria
Description: partial 16S ribosomal RNA
Rfam family: Bacterial small subunit ribosomal RNA
Source: RNAcentral